This 202-nucleotide unclassified non-coding RNA is filed under the name Hevea brasiliensis (rubber tree). The record is from RNAcentral. Lineage: Eukaryota; Viridiplantae; Streptophyta; Magnoliopsida; Malpighiales; Euphorbiaceae.
GGGAACGGAGAGGGCUGAUGGAGAAAGAGAUAGGGAUUUCCAAUCUAAGCGGCCGAAGGUUCUCGCUUACACUGAGCCAUACGACACGGCCUCAUCUAAUUCAGGCCCUGAAGCAUCUGGUCCACCUACCGGACUGGACAUCAAUUCUCAAGGUUCAUCAGUUAGAACCGAUCACGAGAUGAUCAUUUGCCCCACCUCAAAU